This 199-nucleotide long non-coding RNA is filed under the name Sorghum bicolor (sorghum). RNAcentral's name for it is "long non-coding RNA (SBIC_LNC017132)". The record is from RNAcentral. Lineage: Eukaryota; Viridiplantae; Streptophyta; Magnoliopsida; Poales; Poaceae.
AGACACACAACUAAACACCAAGUGGAACUGGUAUGAGUGACCUCUCUCAAACCCUCAAAUUUUCACAAAUAUUUAGCCUUAGGCUUAGUAGUUUUUAUGAAAAUAGCCACGAGAAAUCACGAGGAGCAUCGUAUGGCCAUAAGGCUAGGGGUUAAAAUCAGAAUGAGCUUUGAAUGCUCCCCCUAUCUAUGGACGAACA